CCUACGAGAGGCAGCAGUGAGGAAUAUUGGUCAAUGGACGGAAGUCUGAACCAGCCAUGCCGCGUGCAGGAAGACGGCUCUAUGAGUUGUAAACUGCUUUUGUACAGGGGUAAACCUGAAUACGUGUAUUCAGCUGAAAGUACUGUACGAAUAAGGAUCGGCUAACUCCGUGCCAGCAGCCGCGGUAAUACGGAGGAUCCAAGCGUUAUCCGGAUUUAUUGGGUUUAAAGGGUGCGUAGGCGGAUUGAUAAGUUAGCGGUGAAAUGUCCGAGCUUAACUCGGGAACUGCCUCUAAUACUGUUGAUCUAGAGAGUAUAUGCGGUAGGCGGAAUAUAUGGUGUAGCGGUGAAAUGCUUAGAGAUCAUACAGUACACCGAUUGCGAAGGCAGCUUACUAAUCUAUAUCUGACGUUGAGGCACGAAAGCGUGGGGAGCAAACAGGAUUAGAUACCCUGGUAGUC
RNAcentral lists this ribosomal RNA (460 nucleotides) under uncultured bacterium. RNAcentral describes it as "partial 16S ribosomal RNA". It matches the Rfam family "Bacterial small subunit ribosomal RNA", at positions 338 to 795 of the family's 1533-position model. The record is from RNAcentral.